CAGCCGCCACGGGAAUACGUAGGUGGCAAGCGUUGUCCGGAAUUAUUGGGCGUAAAGGGCUCGCAGGCGGUUUCUUAAGUCUGAUGUAAAAGCCCCCGGCUCAACCGGGGAGGGUCAUUGGAAACUGGGAAACUUGAGUGCAGAAGAGGAGAGUGGAAUUCCACGUGUAGCGGUGAAAUGCGUAGAGAUGUGGAGGAACACCAACGGCGAAAGCACUCUGCUGGGCCGACACUGACACUGAGAGACGAAAGCUAGGGGAGCAAAUGGGAUUAGAUACCCGAGUAGUCCCUGUCUCUUAUAA
RNAcentral lists this ribosomal RNA (301 nucleotides) under uncultured bacterium. Its description in RNAcentral is "partial 16S ribosomal RNA". It matches the Rfam family "Bacterial small subunit ribosomal RNA", at positions 509 to 809 of the family's 1533-position model. The record is from RNAcentral.